This 253-nucleotide ribosomal RNA is filed under the name uncultured bacterium. RNAcentral's name for it is "partial 16S ribosomal RNA". It matches the Rfam family "Bacterial small subunit ribosomal RNA", at positions 524 to 776 of the family's 1533-position model. The record is from RNAcentral.
UACGGAGGGUGCAAGCGUUGUCCGGAUUUAUUGGGUUUAAAGGGUGCGUAGGCGGCCGUUUAAGUCCGGGGUGAAAUCCCGGGGCUCAACCCCGGAACUGCCGUUGAUACUGGCGGGCUUGAGUUCGGUGAAGGCGGGCGGAACUGGCGGUGUAGCGGUGAAAUGCUUAGAUACCGCCAAGAACCCCGAUUGCGUAGGCAGCUCGCUGUGCCGAAACUGACGCUGAGGCACGAAAGCGUGGGGAGCGAACAGG